RNAcentral lists this ribosomal RNA (273 nucleotides) under uncultured bacterium. Its description in RNAcentral is "partial 16S ribosomal RNA". It matches the Rfam family "Bacterial small subunit ribosomal RNA", at positions 524 to 796 of the family's 1533-position model. The record is from RNAcentral.
UACGAAGGGUGCGAGCGUUGGUCGGAAUUACUGGGCGUAAAGCGCACGUAGGCGGAUAUUUAAGUAAGGGGUGAAAUCCCGAAGCUCAACUGCGGAACUGCCUUUGAUACUGGGUAGCUCGAGUAUGGAAGAGGUGAGUGGAAUUCCGAGUGUAGAGGUGAAAUUCGUAGAGAUUAGGAGGAACACCAGUGGCGAAGGCGGCUCACUGGUCAAUUACUGACGCUGAGGUGCGAAAGCGUGGGGAGCAAACAGGAUUAGAUACCCCGGUAGUCC